AGAGUUUGAUCCUGGCUCAGAGCGAACGCUGGCGGCAGGCCUAACACAUGCAAGUCGAACGAACUCUUCGGAGUUAGUGGCGGACGGGUGAGUAACACGUGGGAACGUGCCUUUAGGUUCGGAAUAACUCAGGGAAACUUGUGCUAAUACCGAAUGUGCCCUUCGGGGGAAAGAUUUAUCGCCUUUAGAGCGGCCCGCGUCUGAUUAGCUAGUUGGUGAGGUAAAGGCUCACCAAGGCGACGAUCAGUAGCUGGUCUGAGAGGAUGAUCAGCCACAUUGGGACUGAGACACGGCCCAAACUCCUACGGGAGGCAGCAGUGGGGAAUCUUGCGCAAUGGGCGAAAGCCUGACGCAGCCAUGCCGCGUGAAUGAUGAAGGUCUUAGGACUGUAAAAUUCUUUCAGUAGGGACGAUAAUGACGGUACCUACAGAAGAAGCCCCGGCUAACUUCGUGCCAGCAGCCGCGGUAAUACGAAGGGGGCUAGCGUUGCUCGGAAUUACUGGGCGUAAAGGGAGCGUAGGCGGACAUUUAAGUCAGGGGUGAAAUCCCGGGGCUCAACCUCGGAAUUGCCUUUGAUACUGGGUGUCUUGAGUGUGAGAGAGGUAUGUGGAACUCCGAGUGUAGAGGUGAAAUUCGUAGAUAUUCGGAAGAACACCAGUGGCGAAGGCGACAUACUGGCUCAUUACUGACGCUGAGGCUCGAAAGCGUGGGGAGCAAACAGGAUUAGAUACCCUGGUAGUC
Molecule: ribosomal RNA, 741 nt
Filed under: uncultured bacterium
Lineage: Bacteria
Description: bacterial SSU rRNA
Rfam family: Bacterial small subunit ribosomal RNA
Source: RNAcentral